CGGUGAGUAAUACAUCGGAACGUGUCUUCUAGUGGGGGAUAACUGCCCGAAAGGGCAGCUAAUACCGCAUGAGACCUGAGGGUGAAAGCGGGGGAUCGCAAGACUUCGCGCUGGAAGAGCGGCCGAUGUCCGAUUAGCUAGUUGGUGAGGUAAAGGCUCACCAAGGCGACGAUCGGUAGCUGGUCUGAGAGGACGACCAGCCACACUGGGACUGAGACACGGCCCAG
This 227-nucleotide ribosomal RNA is filed under the name uncultured bacterium. RNAcentral describes it as "partial 16S ribosomal RNA". It matches the Rfam family "Bacterial small subunit ribosomal RNA", at positions 105 to 334 of the family's 1533-position model. The record is from RNAcentral.